Molecule: ribosomal RNA, 505 nt
Filed under: uncultured bacterium
Lineage: Bacteria
Description: partial 16S ribosomal RNA
Rfam family: Bacterial small subunit ribosomal RNA
Source: RNAcentral
GACGAACGCUGGCGGCGUGCCUAAUACAUGCAAGUAGAACGCACAGUUUAUACCGUAGCUUGCUACACCAUAGACUGUGAGUUGCGAACGGGUGAGUAACGCGUAGGUAACCUGCCUGGUAGCGGGGGAUAACUAUUGGAAACGAUAGCUAAUACCGCAUAAUAUUGAUUAUUGCAUGAUAAUUGAUUGAAAGAUGCUAUCGCAUCACUACCAGAUGGACCUGCGUUGUAUUAGCUAGUAGGUGAGGUAACGGCUCACCUAGGCGACGAUACAUAGCCGACCUGGGAGGGUGGUCGGCCAAACUGGGACUGGGAAACGGCCCAAACUCCUAAGGGGAGCAGCAGUAGGGGAUCAUCGGCAAUGGACGGAAGUCUGAACGAGCAACGCCGCGGGAGUGAAGAAAGGUUUCGGGUCGUAAAGCUCUGUUGUGAGGGAAGGACGGGUGUGAGAGUGGAAAGUUCACGCUGUGACGGUAUCUUACCAGAAAGGAACGGCUAACUACGUG